Molecule: long non-coding RNA, 148 nt
Organism: Lemur catta (Ring-tailed lemur)
Lineage: Eukaryota; Metazoa; Chordata; Mammalia; Primates; Lemuridae
Exons: 2
Source: RefSeq, a predicted model, not a curated record
GCGGCCUUUGUCUCUUCCGCCGGGCUCGGAGCAGCGUCCGCGCUCCGCUGUCGCUCCUGCAGGGGGCCCAGGUGUCUCUGCCGCAGCCCGUGUCACCCGUGACCUGCAGUAUGAAUUCUGUGAUGUCGCCUAAGAGUUGAAGAACAGA